UUCAACAUUUAAGCAAAAGUAAACAAUUUGUACAUUUUUCCUUCUCUGAUUUUCUUAUAUACAAAUCAUAUAAAUUAAUCAUAAUUGUUACGCUGGUUGAUUGCAUUAUUAGAAUCAAUUGAGCUUCAGAGAUUACGAUUGUACGGAGUAUUUUGCCUUCUAUUGGUAAUACAAUUGACUAAUUGUCAAUUAAAUGAGGACGAUGAUGGUGGAGAUGGACGCUCAUAUGAAGGUGAUGUUGAAGAGCCUAAAAUAAGCAACAACAAUGGUAAACCUGAAGCAGCUGUGGAUGAAAAAAAGUCUACCGAGGUUAAAGUGAAUGAACAAGAAGAUUUAAGGCCACGAUCACAUUUCACCGAAGAACGGUUUACUCAAUUGUUUGUACCUCGAAAUUCAAGGCGUAAACUUGUUUCAGCUCGCUAUACAACAAAGCCCAGGCCAACUUUACCUUCCUUCAUUAAAAAA
Non-coding RNA from Tetranychus urticae (two-spotted spider mite), 465 nucleotides. Lineage: Eukaryota; Metazoa; Arthropoda; Arachnida; Trombidiformes; Tetranychidae. The record is from RefSeq and is a predicted model, not a curated record.